CAGCUUGUCGGCGCCAUUUUGUCUCGGCAGCGGUGGCCGUAGCUCCAUCGCAUUUUAUGUUUCUGGCGAGAAGGGAACGGAGUUUUCAUCAGGUAGAUUGGUUUUUGUGCGGCCGUCCUCCACCGUUUCCUCCAGGACAGCACCUAGUCGUGGCCGGAGGAGUCUCAGAGCUGUCAGAAAGAAUAAGACUGAUUUUAUGGGAAAAUUAAGCAGAUGCUCCAGUUUGAGAAACCUGGAUCUGCGAUCUGUUUGUGAGUGGUAUUCAGUUAAGAGAACAAUUAUUUCGUAUAAGCCACAUCAGAGACGACUGAAGAUGAAAAAACUACCAUCCCCGUAUAUAACUAAUUUGUGCUGUGCACCAACAAGAACCUGCUUUAAAUUUCCAUGGCAAUUUACAACCCCCAUACUGUACCAGGCAAGAUAUAAAACCAAGGAAAAUAACCUAAAGUCUGAAAAAGACCAGAAUCGAAGUUUCCUGAUUCAUAUUUUAAUGUUUUGAAAUUUAUACUCCAGGCUGGGUGCAGUGGCUUGUGCCUGUAAUCCCAGCACUUUGGGAGGCCGAGGCGGCCGGAUUGCCUGAAGUCAGAAGUUCGAGACCAGCCUGACCAACAUGGUGAAACCCUGUCUCUACUUAAAAAUACAAAAGAGCUGGGCAUGGAGGUGGUGCGCGCCUGUAACCCUAGCUACUCGGGAGGCUGAGGCCUAAGAAUCUCUUGAACCCAGGAGGCAGAGGUUGUAGUGAGCCGGGAUCACGCCACUGCACUCUAGCCUGGGCGACAGAGAGAGAGACUGUCUAAAAAAGGAAAAGAAAAAAAUUUAUACGCCAAAAAAGAUAUUCUGAGAUAACCUGUAGUUACCACUAACUUUGUGACAAAAUUAUAAAAAUCCACAGCCAUCUAUGAAUCUGUAGGCAGACCUGAAGUUUGAACGACUGGUGAAGACAUCUGAUUUUCUUUAUAGCCAAGUUAGGAUAACAAAAUGCAAACAAGUCAUUAAUAUUUACUAUAUGCAAGAUACAGAAAGAUGAAGGAAGGAGUAAGAAGUUAUCCUUCGUGGAACUAUUCAAAGCAAAAAUGCAAAAUACCAGGGAAAGCUUUGAAGAACCAAGAUUUGAGCAGGUUCUUAGAAUAUAGAUUGGAUUGGAUUUGAUUUCAAGAAAGAUGAACGUGUAAAGCAGAAGUGGGAAGCCAAAAACUUUUUUCCAAAUUAGAAUUAAGCAUUCUUUCAAUGAACAUUUGGAAAUCAAGGUAGAAAAAUAUCCCUAGGGCCUAGCUGAGGAGUCUGUAUGUUGUUGGGUUUUGAUAGUAACCAGUCCAAGAUUUUGUUAUUAGACGUGGGUUUCUGAAUAGACAGGCAUUUCUGAACAGACAUGACAGGAUCAAAACAAUGUUUGAGCAAACUGCCCUUCAUCUACUGUGGAUAUGUUGGGGGAUGAUGGAAUAUAGUGAAAGAUAAUGGGUGCUCAUACAGCAGUCUAGACUUAAGGUGAUUCAACUACUAUAUAUUAAACUAGAUUAUCUUUUAUUUUUUAAUUUUGAAAUCUGGAUGCUCAAGCUCUGCCUGCACAACCACAUGAGGAAGAAGGAACAAUGACAACAAAAAUAACACUAAAUUUAAAUUUAAGAGUACUACUUUUAGGAAAUAGACAAACCAUUAUUUGGGUACAACUAAAGGCAACUGGCAUGGACUCAAAUAUUUUGGGGAAGAAAAAGACUAAAAGUUCUAAGGAAGAAAAUGCGAACCUUGAUAGUUUGAAAUAGUUAAAAAGACAGUGUAGAAACUGCUUAGGCAGUUUGAUUAUGGACUAUUAGAUGAUACUUGGGUCUGAUAAUGGUAUAAGGAGAAUAAAGUAUUUAGGGAUCCAAUAUUACGCCUGCAGCUUUUUCCAAAUAGUUCAUGGGGGAGGGGGAUGUGUAAGUGGUUAACUGAAGUCUAACUAGAUAGGUUUGUUGUAAGCUUAGGAUGUUUACAGUUCUUCAUGUUAAGUUGAGCGUGAUGGGAAGGGAAAGAAUGCUGAUCUUUAAAUUUUUGUCCUUAGUUAAGUUCUGUAUUUAGUGAAUUAAUUGCAUCCUAAAAAGUCAAACUUGAAAAGCACAUUUUAAAUGGCAAAUCUAUUUUUUACAUGUUUGUGAAGUUUUUAUUUUUUAGUAAACAGACCAUCAGAAGAGAACAAUGGUACAGAGCAGGGGUCAGCAGAUGGAUUUUGUAAAGCAUCAACUUGUAAAUAUUUUCAAGUUUAUUAGCUGUAUGGCUCUGGUUUCUGUUCCCUGUUCCAAAUGUUAAAGUCUACUGUUGUAUUCUAAAAGCAGCCAUGGACUGAAUGUAGCUGUGUUCCAAUAAAACUUACACAAAAGCAGGCAGUGGGCCAUAAUUUGCAACACCUGAUUCACAGCAUAAUUUUGUCACAAACUGAAAGUGUUCCUCAAUUAAAGUGAUUUUUUUUUCUUG
RNAcentral lists this long non-coding RNA (2448 nucleotides) under Homo sapiens (human). RNAcentral's name for it is "HSALNT0377268". The record is from RNAcentral. Lineage: Eukaryota; Metazoa; Chordata; Mammalia; Primates; Hominidae.